AACCUUAUGUUUACUUAUAAGGCGAUUUCUGCCCAAUGAUUUAUUUUAAUGGCCGCAGUACCUUGACUGUGCUAAGGUAGCAUAAUAAAUUGGCUUUUAAAUGGAGUCUAGAAUGAAAGGAUAUUUAAGUAAAAGCUGUCUUUUUUUUUUAUUUUGAAGUUAUUUAUUAGGUGAAAAGACCUAUAUUUUAAGAAAGACGAGAAGACCCUUAGAAUUUUUAAAAUUAUUUAGUUGUUUUUUGUUGGGGUGACACAUUUACAGAUCAACUUUUUUCUUUUACAUGACAGUAUUUUCUUGAAAGAUAAAAUUACCUUAGGGAUAACAGCAUAAUUUUUUUUUAAGAUUGUGACCUCGAUGUUGGACUAGGGACCAAAUUAAUAAGAAAUUAAUUUGUUUAGUUCUGUUCGAACUUUUUUUCCU
Molecule: ribosomal RNA, 420 nt
Filed under: Gulella sp. B 'Ukaguru'
Lineage: Eukaryota; Metazoa; Mollusca; Gastropoda; Stylommatophora; Streptaxidae
Description: partial 16S ribosomal RNA
Source: RNAcentral